UUGCACUGAUUUCAACAAUGAAGCGAGUGGCGAACUGGUGAGUAACACGUGGGGAAUCUGCCCAGAAGCAGGGGAUAACACUUGGAAACAGGUGCUAAUACCGUAUAACAACAAAAUCCGCAUGGAUUUUGUUUGAAAGGUGGCUUCGGCUAUCACUUCUGGAUGAUCCCGCGGCGUAUUAGUUAGUUGGUGAGGUAAAGGCCCACCAAGACGAUGAUACGUAGCCGACCUGAGAGGGUAAUCGGCCACAUUGGGACUGAGACACGGCCCAAACUCC
This 277-nucleotide ribosomal RNA is filed under the name uncultured Lactobacillus sp. Its description in RNAcentral is "partial 16S ribosomal RNA". It matches the Rfam family "Bacterial small subunit ribosomal RNA", at positions 62 to 339 of the family's 1533-position model. The record is from RNAcentral. Lineage: Bacteria; Bacillati; Bacillota; Bacilli; Lactobacillales; Lactobacillaceae.